CGCGGCCUAUCAGCUUGUUGGUGGGGUGAUGGCCUACCAAGGCGACGACGGGUAGCCGGCCUGAGAGGGCGACCGGCCACACUGGGACUGAGACACGGCCCAGACUCCUACGGGAGGCAGCAGUGGGGAAUAUUGCACAAUGGGCGCAAGCCUGAUGCAGCGACGCCGCGUGGGGGAUGACGGCCUUCGGGUUGUAAACCUCUUUCGCCAAGGACGAAGCCUUUUGGGGUGACGGUACCUGGAGAAGAAGCACCGGCUAACUACGUGCCAGCAGCCGCGGUAAUACGUGGGGUGCGAGCGUUGUCCGGAAUUAUUGGGCGUAAAGAGCUCGUAGGCGGUUUGUCGCGUCGGCCGUGGAAACUGGAGGCUUAACCUUCAGCGUGCGGUCGAUACGGGCAGACUUGAGUUCGGUAGGGGAGUCUGGAAUUCCUGGUGUAGCGGUGAAAUGCGCAGAUAUCAGGAGGAACACCGGUGGCGAAGGCGGGACUCUGGGCCGAUACUGACGCUGAGGAGCGAAAGCGUGGGGAGCGAACAGGAUUAGAUACCCUGGUAGUCCACGCUGUAAACGUUGGGCGCUAGGUGUGGGUGACAUUCCACGUUGUCCGUGCCGUAGCUAACGCAUUAAGCGCCCCGCCUGGGGAGUACGG
This 647-nucleotide ribosomal RNA is filed under the name uncultured Actinomycetes bacterium. RNAcentral's name for it is "bacterial SSU rRNA". It matches the Rfam family "Bacterial small subunit ribosomal RNA", at positions 232 to 885 of the family's 1533-position model. The record is from RNAcentral. Lineage: Bacteria; Bacillati; Actinomycetota; Actinomycetes.